Molecule: ribosomal RNA, 484 nt
Filed under: uncultured bacterium
Lineage: Bacteria
Description: partial 16S ribosomal RNA
Rfam family: Bacterial small subunit ribosomal RNA
Source: RNAcentral
AUUGAACGCUGGCGGCAGGCCUAACACAUGCAAGUCGAGCGGAGGAAGGGAGCUUGCUCCUGGAUUCAGCGGCGGACGGGUGAGUAAUGCCUAGGAAUCUGCCUGGUAGUGGGGGAUAACGUCCGGAAACGGGCGCUAAUACCGCAUACGUCCUGAGGGAGAAAGUGGGGGAUCUUCGGACCUCACGCUAUCAGAUGAGCCUAGGUCGGAUUAGCUAGUUGGUAGGGUAAAGGCCUACCAAGGCGACGAUCCGUAACUGGUCUGAGAGGAUGAUCAGUCACACUGGAACUGAGACACGGUCCAGACUCCUACGGGAGGCAGCAGUGGGGAAUAUUGGACAAUGGGCGAAAGCCUGAUCCAGCCAUGCCGCGUGUGUGAAGAAGGUCUUCGGAUUGUAAAGCACUUUAAGUUGGGAGGAAGGGCAGUAAGUUAAUACCUUGCUGUUUUGACGGUACCAACAGAAUAAGCACCGGCUAACUUCGUG